ACCAACGACUGUGCCACGUUGAAUACAUCAAUUCUCGUCCGAACACCGAAGUUAAGCGACGUCGCGCGUGGUCAGUACUCGGAUGGGUGACCGUCACGUGUGGUUGGUU
This 109-nucleotide ribosomal RNA is filed under the name Olea europaea subsp. europaea. Lineage: Eukaryota; Viridiplantae; Streptophyta; Magnoliopsida; Lamiales; Oleaceae. The record is from RNAcentral.